UACGUAGGUGGCAAGCGUUGUCCGGAUUUAUUGGGCGUAAAGCGCGCGCAGGCGGCUAUGUAAGUCUGGUGUUAAAGCCCGGAGCUCAACUCCGGUUCGCAUCGGAAACUGUGUAGCUUGAGUGCAGAAGAGGAAAGCGGUAUUCCACGUGUAGCGGUGAAAUGCGUAGAGAUGCGGAGGAACACCAGUGGCGAAAGCGGCUUUCUGGUCCUUAACUGACGCUGAGGCGCGAAAGCAUGGGGAGCGAACGGG
This 252-nucleotide ribosomal RNA is filed under the name uncultured bacterium. RNAcentral's name for it is "partial 16S ribosomal RNA". It matches the Rfam family "Bacterial small subunit ribosomal RNA", at positions 524 to 776 of the family's 1533-position model. The record is from RNAcentral.